UCCUGGCUCAGGAUGAACGCUGGCGGUGUGCUUAACACAUGCAAGUCGAACGAUGAAGCCAGCUUGCUGGUGGAUUAGUGGCGAACGGGUGAGUAACACGUGAGUAACCUGCCCUUGACUCUGGGAUAAGCCUGGGAAACUGGGUCUAAUACCGGAUAUGACUCCUCAUCGCAUGGUGGGGGGUGGAAAGCUUUUUGUGGUUUUGGAUGGACUCGCGGCCUAUCAGCUUGUUGGUGAGGUAAUGGCUCACCAAGGCGACGACGGGUAGCCGGCCUGAGAGGGUGACCGGCCACACUGGGACUGAGACACGGCCCAGACUCCUACGGGAGGCAGCAGUGGGGAAUAUUGCACAAUGGGCGAAAGCCUGAUGCAGCGACGCCGCGUGAGGGAUGACGGCCUUCGGGUUGUAAACCUCUUUCAGU
RNAcentral lists this ribosomal RNA (422 nucleotides) under Arthrobacter sp. 047-4.3-CV-A-12. Its description in RNAcentral is "bacterial SSU rRNA". It matches the Rfam family "Bacterial small subunit ribosomal RNA", at positions 17 to 440 of the family's 1533-position model. Lineage: Bacteria; Bacillati; Actinomycetota; Actinomycetes; Micrococcales; Micrococcaceae. The record is from RNAcentral.